Molecule: ribosomal RNA, 466 nt
Filed under: uncultured bacterium
Lineage: Bacteria
Description: partial 16S ribosomal RNA
Rfam family: Bacterial small subunit ribosomal RNA
Source: RNAcentral
ACGCACGCUGGCGGCGUGCUUAACACAUGCAAGUCGCACGGAAAGGCCCUGCUUUUGUGGGGUGCUCGAGUGGCGAACGGGUGAGUAACACGUGAGUAACCUGCCCUUGACUUUGGGAUAACUUCAGGAAACUGGGGCUAAUACCGGAUAGGAGCUCCUGCUGCAUGGUGGGGGUUGGAAAGUUUCGGCGGUUGGGGAUGGACUCGCGGCUUAUCAGCUUGUUGGUGGGGUAGUGGCUUACCAAGGCUUUGACGGGUAGCCGGCCUGAGAGGGUGACCGGCCACAUUGGGACUGAGAUACGGCCCAGACUCCUACGGGAGGCAGCAGUGGGGAAUAUUGCACAAUGGGCGGAAGCCUGAUGCAGCAACGCCGCGUGCGGGAUGACGGCCUUCGGGUUGUAAACCGCUUUCGCCUGUGACGAAGCGUGAGUGACGGUAAUGGGUAAAGAAGCACCGGCUAACUACGU